Molecule: transfer RNA, 75 nt
Filed under: Caerostris darwini
Lineage: Eukaryota; Metazoa; Arthropoda; Arachnida; Araneae; Araneidae
Description: tRNA-Arg
Source: RNAcentral
GGGACAGCGGCACAACGGAUAACGCGCCUGACUACGGAUCAGGAGAUUCCAUGUUCGAAUCCUGGCUGCUCGACA